CCUGGGCCCCUGGGAGUGCAGAGAUGCCUGGGUGUGCAGCUGCAGCUUGGGUGGCUGCAGCUGCGGCUUGGGUGGCUGCAGCUGCAGCUUGGGUGGCUGCAGCUAUGCCUGGAGCUCAUGCCUGCUCCCACUCCUCAAGAGCACAGGGAUGUCCAGGCUUGGAGCCAUGGCUGGGCAGCUGCAGCUGCGCCCAGGGAGCAUGAGGCUCCUGCCCUGCCAACUCAGGAGCGGGCUGGCCUUCCACCUGUUUCUGGCUCCCUCCGGCUCCAUGGAGCAUGCAACCCUGGCCACACCUCCCCAGUGAAGCCAGUGUCAUGGCAGCAGCCACUCUAGAUGGGCCAUGGCUGCCAUCAUUAGGGCUUUACUAUACACAUGUUAAAAAGUAAUUAAACGUGGUUUCUACCCUCCUGACAUUAAAAACUGAUCAAUUCCAGAUGGAUUAUAGAUAUAGUUGUGGAAGACAAAACAAUCAAACUUUUAGAAAAAAGUCAAAGACAUUAUUUUCAGGUUUUCCAAGUUGGGAAAUGUGAUACAAAACUAUUCAGUUUAAAUAAAAAAUCAAUACCUUUAACUAUUAAAAUUGAGGACUGCUAUUUAUCCAAAGAUACAAUGAAGAGACUGAAAGGCAAAGAUUAAAAAAAGACUAAAGAUUUAAAAAAUUAAAUAUGUAUACACACAUGAAUGGAAUAUGUGAAAAAGUCUCCAAGUAAAGAAAAAAGGACAAUUCACUAGAAAUAGAAGAAAAGUCUUAAACAGUCUCAUCCCAAAGAAGAUAUCCUAAUGAACAGUGGACAUGAACAGGGGCUCAACUUCGUUAAUUAUCUCUCAUUCUCAAGGAAAAGCAAAUUAGACUGUGAAUAAAAUCUCCAUGUACCCACUAGGAUGACUACAAUUCAAAAGGCUGACCUAUCCAGGUGAAGAUGAGAGUGUGCAGCAUUGGAAAUUCUUACACAUUGCUGGAGAUUUAGAAGCUAAAGAAAGAGGACAAAUGAUUUGGAAGCAAAGAUAAGAAGGAAGAAGGAGAUGGGGUCUCGCCAUGUUUCCCAGGCUGGUCUCAAACUCCUAGAUUCAAGCGAUCCACCUGCCUUGGCCUCCCAAAGUGCUGGCAUUAUAGGCAUGAGGCACCAUGCCAGGCCUGUUUUGAAAUUUCAUACAUAUUUAUAAAACAUAUUUUCAGGAUGAGAGAAUAUACGAAGAAGUUACAUAGCAUUGUGUAUCUGUAUAGAAUAAAAAUGAUCUAAAUCAAUGUCAUCAGACCAUGGCUUUAUAGACACCAUCUUCUAGUCAAAUCACUCAUCUGUUUUUACCCAGUACUCAUACUGUGGGAAAAGUGUAGGGGCACAGAACAGUGAACACUUUCGGGAAUGUUGGAAUCAUUCUGUAUUAGAAUUUUAUUCUUAUAAAAAAUGUUGGUGAAUCAGUCUGGAUUAGGUCAUGGAAACAACACACCAUCAAUCAUCACGGAAAGAAGGUGUUUCAUGUGGGAAUUUUAAGAAUAUAGGACAAACAGGAUGUGGGAGAGAUGGGGUUUCAAGGUCUGAUAAGGGAAUAUUUGGUGGGAUAAAGAAAUAGUGACGAAGCACUUCAGCCUGAAGAGACUUCUUAGAAACCUAUCAGGCCCAUAUUUCCUUCUCCCAAAAGGCAAAAAUAGUACUUAAGUUAUCCUCACCAGGAGAUUUGGCUACAGAAAUGAAUAACCCAAUUUUUAAUCUAUUCAGCUAGUCUCACCACUGCUACCCAAAGAGCUACCUGAGAGUCUUGGAGACACAACUGAACACCAAUGAUAAUCUCUUAGAUUAUAGCUGGGGAUAUUACCAAAGAUGUGAUUUACCCAGAAGGAUUAACUCUAGUGAAGCAGCUAGAUCAGGAAGGUUACUGGGGUCCGAGUUUGGACUAUGCCCUGCUUGGAAUGAGAAUAUGGUCAGAAAUCUUGUACUGUUAAUAGAAUGACUGCUCCACUGGCCAAACCAUCAGAGCACAGCAGAAGUCCCAAACUCCCUUGCUCAUGUGGUCCUAGACAACUACAUUGUUUUUGACUGUCUUCUUGCUGUACAGGGUGAUGUUUGUGCUGUUGCUAACAUUUGCUGCUGCACCUGGGUAAAUACAUCUAGUUAGAUUGAAUUGGACACAUCUAAGAUCCUAAAGUUAGCUAAAUCUCUGAAUGGGACACCUUCAAAAAGCCUCCUGGCUGGACUUCCUGGCUUGAAUUUACAAUUUCCAGAUAUUUUCAGCUGGCUUUUGUCUCUAGUCUAGGAUACCUUCUGUGUUCCAUCCUACAGAUCUUAAUGAUCCUUCUAUUUGGGCUAAUCAUUUGGGUACUCUUUUGAAUUGUUCUAGCCUGUUUUUUUUGUUUGUUUGUUUUGUUUUGUUUGGAGAUGGAGUUUCACACUUGUUGCCCAGGCUGGAGUGCAAUGGUGGGAUCUCGGCUCACUGCAACCUCCACCUCCUUGGUUCAAGCGAUUCUCCUGCCUCAGCCUCCCGAGUAGCUGGGAUUACAGGCACGCACCACCACACCCGGCUAGUUUUGUAUUUUUAGUAGAGAUGCAUUUUCUUCAUGUUGCUCAGGCUGGUCUCAAACUCCUGACCUCAGGUGAUCCGCCCACUUCGGCCUCCCAGUGUGCUGAGAUUACAGGUGUGAGCCACUGCGCCCAGCUCUUCUAGCCUGUUUUAACAGAUAUCUGCAAGAGGCUUGGAUCAUGCUGACCUAACCCAGGAAAUUUUAAAUUUACUCCAGACAGGAACCAGAAUCAACAUAACCUACGAGACUUUGAUUAGAAUCUAACAGGUACCUGAGUGCCUUUUGUAAGUAAAUGGCUCUAGUUGCUCAAUUGGCCACUGCUCUGCCACCAGGAUCCCUAGAAGAGACCAGAUAAACCUGAAGCACGUAGCUAAUCACUUCCAUGCCGUGAUGGAAUGCAGUGCUGUCUGCCAACAAGUUUGAGCCAGUCUUUCAAGAUGCAUCCUGAGUGGCUAACUGGGCCUGCAUUUCAAGUUGAGCCAAGGGACCAUUUGCUAACGAGGGGACACACACAUGUUCUGAGUUCACCCAAAACACAUACCUUAUUAUUUUGGGGCUUUUCAGCCCACCUGCCUCUGCUAAUCAGGGCUCAGCUGUAUUGACCCAUUAGAACUCAGCUGGGUUGACCAAUCAGAACUAAGUGAGUUUGGAGUUUUAAUUCUCAAUUGAAUGAACAGACCUGAUUGGGAACCUGCGUGGGAACUUUGGCUAUUAAACCUGAGCAUUCUUUCUGUUCUCUGGAAGAAAUAAUGUUUAAGUUGCUAACACUUUAUGCAUUUUCCUAAAAUUGAAUCAAACAACUCCUUUUGAAACAUAACCCUGAUAUCAGGGAAGUCGUACAACACCGUGCUAAAUAAUUUUAUACCUCUAACCAAGGUCUGUGCCCUAAUCAGCAGGAAGUGCCAGAGUGUCUGUCACCCAUUCUCCCUCAAGAUUGAGAAAUGAACAAUGAAAAAAGGGGGAUUUGAAAAUGCAGAACCAGCCCAAUGUGGUUCAAGUUUGUGUAAUAAAAUAAUGCGUUGUUUUACUGUUGCCACGGUCUCCUGGUUUCAAGUUAUGUUACCUGAGCAUGCCCAGACACACUCUGCAUGCAACCACGGUGGAACCUAAGUACUUGGACCAAGGAGCAGGGCUGAUUUAAGAAGGAGACACCUCAGGGCUUAAUCUGUGAUCUGAUCAGAUCCAGCCCUGACAUCACCUCAUGGCACGAUGCAGUCAGAUCUUACCUCAUUACCCUCUGUCUAUAAAACCUGCCCCAACCCCCAGAUCUGAGAGACAAAUUUUUAGAUAUGCUUUCCCCCAUCUCCUUCCUAGUUGAAUAAAAAUAAACCUUUCCCUCUACAAAACCCUUGUGCUUCCUUGUUUGGCUUUCCAUUGCAAUCAGGCAAACGGCCUGCAUUGCUUUAGGUAACUGACACUCCCAAGACUCAAGGAGCUGCCGCGCAGCACUAUUUUGAAAGCCCAGCCCCCAUCAGACUGUAUCUUGCUCUGGGGCCCAACAGCCCCAGCAUCUCCACUUCCCUGGAGCCCUGCGGACAUCUCUUCAUUUCCACCCAGAGGGCUGCAACUUUGUCCCGUGGGCUGAAUCCAGUGGUGCAGUAAGGAACAGGCAGUGCACCACACCAGGGAGACUGCCCCCAGGACAAAGGGAGCCCAAAUGCACACUCCUCAGUUUCUGAAAGCCACUUGCCCGGGGCCACUGCCACCGACAGCAACCCUCUCAACUUUCCACCCGAAGCAGGGCCACCAAGCAUCUGCAUGUGCCUCCCAUGGUCCUGGAGCUGGUCUGCCCAGACGCAGUUCUGUGUCCUGAGGACAGGCUCUCACACCACCCGUCACGCAAACAUGGUGCCCAGGGCCUGGGGAUCAUGCUGCCUCAACUGUAGCUGCGGGCGUGUGCCCACAACAUCAGGAAGUGUGACAGCAGGCCCAGGUCACCUGCCACUGGCACCCAAGCAUGCCAUCCAGGAGCUUGGUGAUUGUUCGGCCACACUCGCCAUAGCCUGCACCCUUGCACGCCAUUGGAGGGCCUAAGGACGGGAAAGCAACAUGCCUCCCUGGAGAGAGCUUGAUUCUGUUCUGGCAUAUGUUAGAGAAAAGUACUAAACCAAGUCAGAUGGUUUGGAAUGUGGUCUAAUUUUUUAUUUUUUUUUAGACGGAGUCUCGCUCUGUCGCCCAGGCUGGAGUACAGUGGCGCGAUCUCGGCUCACUGCAAGCUCCGCCUCCUAGGUUCACGCCAUUCUCCUGCCUCAGCCUCCAGAGUAGCUGGGACUACAGGCGCCCGCCACAACGCCCGGCUAAUUUUUUGUAUUUUUAGUAGAGACAGGGUUUCACCGUGUUAACCAGGAUGCUCUCCAUCUCCUGACCUCAUGAUCCGUCCUCCUCGGUCUCCCAAAGUGCUGGGAUUACAGGCGUGAGCCACAGCGCCUGGCCAGAAUAUGGUCUAAAUAUUAAUACUACCAAACUGGGGAGGAAGUAACUUAAUUUUGCUGAUUUUUCAUUUUCUUAUACUUUAUUGGUUUACAAAGAAACCAUUAUUUGCUUUUAAUGGCAGAGUUAUUCUUUUCUACUGUGAAGUUACUUCAACUCAUAAAAAUGUAUUUUAUUUACACCUUUGUAGCAAUGGAGCUUGGAAGAAAAUAUAAAGCAUAUCUACAUGAACAUUUCAUCUAGUAUUCUGUGUUCUCACCUGGUCUUCUAUAAAGUUUCAGUUCAAGUGAAGAAACAGUGCUUGGCAGCACCAUGCUCUAUUGUGAAAGGAGGCAUUUGCCGUGUGAUUGGAUCACAGGUAGUUCAAGGUAACAAAAGGCCUCAAAGCAAUUAGGAAAGACAGGAUUAUUAAUGUGGAUUUAAUGGCAUUAGCUGCUUCCUUGCUUUUUUCUCACUGUGUUAUUUUGAAUAACCGCAUAGUUUUUUCAAGAUUGUAAUAUAUAUAGUCUAAUCCAUAUGAUUUUUAUACAUGUGAGUAACACAAUGCAGGUAUAUAAAACUCUGACCAAUGUUUCUGUAAAACAGAGUUCUGCAAACUAUGGCUUAUGGGUGCCAUCCUGUUAUUGAAAGUAAAAAUUGAUUGGAACAUAGCCACACCUAUUGGUUUAUGUAUUUUCUAUGGCUGUGUUUGCACUACAUGCAGAGCUGAGUAAUUCAGACAGAGACUGUAUGACCUGCAAAGCCAUAAAUCGUUACUAUCUGGUAUUUUACAGAAAAGAUUACCAGCCAUUGCCAUAAAGAGUAAAACCUUAUUUUCUGAUAAAAAUAACUGCAAAAAAGAAAAUCAGAAAUAAGAAGCCUAGUGAAAUACAUUGUAUUUUCAGUUCAAAAAUAAUUUUUAAUUGCUAUAAGAAACAUCAACCACUUUCCUAGGACUUUUCACACAUAAGACAAAG
RNAcentral lists this long non-coding RNA (5904 nucleotides) under Homo sapiens (human). RNAcentral describes it as "HSALNT0010263". The record is from RNAcentral. Lineage: Eukaryota; Metazoa; Chordata; Mammalia; Primates; Hominidae.